Phodopus roborovskii (desert hamster) is the source of this 134-nucleotide small nucleolar RNA. RefSeq annotates it as small nucleolar RNA SNORA67. The transcript has a single exon. Lineage: Eukaryota; Metazoa; Chordata; Mammalia; Rodentia; Cricetidae. The record is from RefSeq and is a predicted model, not a curated record.
GAAGGUGAUUCCCUCAAGGAGCUAAUGUGCCCUUCUCAGGAACUUGUCAACUUGGAAGAAAACCUAGCAUGCCUAAGGUCCUUGCAGAGCAAGGGAUGCUUGUUUCUUAUGCCUUCCUUUGAUGGCCUACAUAU